GACGAACGCUGGCGGCGUGCUUAACACAUGCAAGUCGAACGGAAAGGCCCUGCUUUUGUGGGGUGCUCGAGUGGCGAAAGGGUGAGUAACACGUGAGUAACCUGCCCUUGACUUUGGGAUAACUUCAGGAAACUGGGGCUAAUACCGGAUAGGAGCUCCUGCUGCAUGGUGGGGGUUGGAAAGUUUCGGCGGUUGGGGAUGGACUCGCGGCUUAUCAGCUUGUUGGUGGGGUAGUGGCUUACCAAGGCUUUGACGGGUAGCCGGCCUGCGAGGGUGACCGGCCACAUUGGGACUGAGAUACGGCCCAGACUCCUACUGGAGGCAGCAGUGGGGAAUAUUGCACAAUGGGCGGAAGCCUGAUGCAGCAACGCCGCGUGCUGGAUGACGGCCUUCGGGUUGUAAACCGCUUUCGCCUGUGACGAAGCGUGAGUGACGGUAAUGGGUAAAGAAGCACCGGCUAACUACGUG
This 468-nucleotide ribosomal RNA is filed under the name uncultured bacterium. RNAcentral's name for it is "partial 16S ribosomal RNA". It matches the Rfam family "Bacterial small subunit ribosomal RNA", at positions 28 to 507 of the family's 1533-position model. The record is from RNAcentral.